Cercocebus atys (sooty mangabey) is the source of this 301-nucleotide unclassified non-coding RNA. Its record names the gene 7SK. It matches the Rfam family "7SK RNA". From Rfam's summary of the family: 7SK was discovered as an abundant small nuclear RNA in the mid-70s but a possible function has only recently been suggested. Two independent studies have found that 7SK RNA binds the CDK9/cyclin T complex (known as elongation factor P-TEFb). Lineage: Eukaryota; Metazoa; Chordata; Mammalia; Primates; Cercopithecidae. The record is from Ensembl.
GGAUGUGAAGGUGAUCUGGCUGUGACAUCUGUCACCCCAGUGAUUGCUAUGGUUGAUUUGGCUCAUCUGGCUGGCUAGGCGGUGUCCCCUUCCUCCCUUACCCCUGCAUGUGCAUCCCUCCCAAAGCUGUACACUCAGUUGAAGAGGAUGACCAUCCCCAAUAGAGGAGGAUAUCUUCGGUCAAGGGUAUACGAGUAGCUGCGCUCCCCUGCUACAAUCUCCAAACAAGCUCUCAAGGUCCAGAGACAUGAUGUGAACUUCAGGUCUCAGUUGAUGAUCACGUGGUUGUAUGGAGGUGCAG